RNAcentral lists this transfer RNA (73 nucleotides) under Ktedonobacter sp. RNAcentral's name for it is "tRNA-Met". It matches the Rfam family "tRNA". Rfam says of the family: Transfer RNA (tRNA) molecules are approximately 80 nucleotides in length. Their secondary structure includes four short double-helical elements and three loops (D, anti-codon, and T loops). Lineage: Bacteria; Bacillati; Chloroflexota; Ktedonobacteria; Ktedonobacterales; Ktedonobacteraceae. The record is from RNAcentral.
GGGCCCAUAGCUCAGCGGUUAGAGCAGUCCCCUCAUAAGGGAUUGGUCCCUGGUUCGAUCCCAGGUGGGCCCA